Numida meleagris (helmeted guineafowl) is the source of this 906-nucleotide long non-coding RNA. RefSeq lists it as uncharacterized. The transcript is spliced from 4 exons. The record is from RefSeq and is a predicted model, not a curated record. NCBI's taxonomy places the organism in Eukaryota, Metazoa, Chordata, Aves, Galliformes, Numididae.
CUGUGAUUCUGUGACUUCAUAAAGAGUCCGUGGCAGGAGGGCAGUUGGUUCAUUUCCAUUACUGAGUACUAUUCAACAAAAUCUGAAGGACAGCUGCUAAAUCUUAUUUAUUUCCAUGGACACAUUACGACUGCAACUUUAGGAAUAUAUCAGGGAACUAAGGAACAUCAGUUCUGCAAACAAAUCCCACACAGACAGGUCAGCAAAUAUGACAAAUGAAUCAAGAAACCAAGAAAAAAAAAAACAGCACCAGUUUCUGCAGCAGAGAACAGCGGACUAAACACUUCUGCAGAUGUGACUAAGGCAAGCACACAGAUAGUUGCUCAUGCCUUGCAUGUAAAUUCUGGAAAAGUUACACUGCAGAAGAUAAGCUCAAGGAGUAUUUAAGAAUCUUCUCAAGACACCUAAGGAAUCUGAGGGGAAAAUAGUGAAGACAAGAAGAAAGCAUUCAUGCCUGGAGUCCAGCACUUCCAAGGAGAACUUGAUAAGAAAUCUACGUCCCAUGGAAACUUCAGAGAGGGGAUUCCACAGAAGUAACAACCACAGGUCACCUGCAGGUGUUAAAACUUGCAGAGGAGUUGAGAAACCAAAGAGAAGCUCCGUUACUGUGUUGAGAAGUUCCCGUUGCUUUGGCUGGGGAAUGACAUGGGGCUAGUCAUGGUCAGAAGAAGUCCAGAUUGUUCUACUUUAAAAACAACAAAAAUAAAAUGCCAACUGUUUUUGAGUACUUUCACAGCUAGGUUUUGUAAGGGAGGGAGAGUAUAUACAGCAAUAUUCUUUCUAAAUGUUGUCCCAACAUAUAUUCCAGGAGCUGGGAGUCAAUCUUUUAUUUCUCUCAAAUUUACAGUGCAAUCAACUGUCGUGGGCUUUAUACACAAAUACAAUGUUUACCCCUACAGAGUGUAA